This 253-nucleotide ribosomal RNA is filed under the name uncultured bacterium. RNAcentral describes it as "partial 16S ribosomal RNA". It matches the Rfam family "Bacterial small subunit ribosomal RNA", at positions 524 to 776 of the family's 1533-position model. The record is from RNAcentral.
UACGUAGGGGGCGAGCGUUGUCCGGAAUCAUUGGGCGUAAAGAGCGUGUAGGCGGCUUGGCAAGUCUGACGUGAAAGCCCGCGGCUCAACCGCGGAUUGUCGUUGGAAACUGCCUCGCUAGAGUCCGGAAGAGGAGAGCGGAAUUCCUGGUGUAGCGGUGGAAUGCGCAGAUAUCAGGAAGAACACCAAUGGCGAAAGCAGCUCUCUGGGACGGUACUGACGCUGAGACGCGAAAGCGUGGGGAGCGAACAGG